This 60-nucleotide transfer RNA is filed under the name Unionicola parkeri. RNAcentral describes it as "tRNA-Lys". Lineage: Eukaryota; Metazoa; Arthropoda; Arachnida; Trombidiformes; Unionicolidae. The record is from RNAcentral.
CUUUUAGUGGCUGAAAAGAGCAUUGGCCUCUUAAGCCAAAAAAUGAAAAAUUCCUAAAAG